GUUGUCCACUUUGGCAGCACAUAUACUAAAAUUGGAAUAAUACAGAGAAGACUAGCAUGGUCCCUGCACAAGGAUUACAUGCAAAUUCGUGUAGUCCAUAUUUUU
RNAcentral lists this small nuclear RNA (105 nucleotides) under Dasypus novemcinctus (nine-banded armadillo). Lineage: Eukaryota; Metazoa; Chordata; Mammalia; Cingulata; Dasypodidae. The record is from RNAcentral.